Panthera uncia (snow leopard) is the source of this 899-nucleotide long non-coding RNA. RefSeq lists it as uncharacterized. The transcript is spliced from 2 exons. Lineage: Eukaryota; Metazoa; Chordata; Mammalia; Carnivora; Felidae. The record is from RefSeq and is a predicted model, not a curated record.
ACUGACUCUUGAUCUCAGGGUCGUGAGUUCAAGCCCCACAUCGGGUGUGGGGCCUACUUAAAAAAAAAAGGAGGGCGCCUGGGUGGCUCAGUCCGUUGGGCAUCCGACUUUGGCUCAGGUCGUGAUCUUGCAGUCCGUGAGUUUGAGCCCUGCGUCAGGCUCUGUGCUGACAGCUCAGAGCCUGGAGCCUGCUUUGGAUUCUGUGUCUUCCUUUCUCUUUGUCCCUCUCCCUACUCUCACACUCCUCUCCUUCAAAAAUAAAAAUAAACGUAAAAAAAAUUUUUUUUUAAUUUAAAAAAAAAUUAUAAAAGGUUUUCUCAUGACGUGUACCAGCUCUUUACAUGGCAAGGAAAUCUACCCUUUGUCAUUUGUAUACUAAUAUUUUUUUCUAGUUUCUCAUUUGUCUUUUGACUUUGCUUAUGGUAUAUUUUUGUACAACAAAAGUAAAAUGGAACCAUACCAUAUGCACUAUUUCAUAGCCUUCUUUCCUCUUAGUAUAAAUAUGAACAUCUUUCCAUAUCCCUAAACUUUCGGUCAUCAUGUUCAUUUUCAUUUGCAUAAAUUCAUACUGUUUUUUAUUCUCUCCCCAGAAUAGAGUCACUUGAAUUCCUGGAUGAAAUGGAGCUGCUCGAACAGCUCAUGAAACAUUACUGCCUUUGUUGGGCAAGCAAAGGAGGAAGUGAACUAGGUUUGAAGGAAAUCACUUACUAAUCUAUUGGAAGCCCAGGCCGAGCUGGGAGCUGCUGCCACCAACCUUCCCAGAGUGGACUGGCCAUGUUUCCUGGGCGGUGGCCAGCCCUGGGCUCGUCCCACACCCUGACAGACCUCACUUCCCAGGGCUGUCGCACCACCUGCUGUGCCCGUUGGCUUACCGUUUAAAUAAAUCUCUGUUGCCAGUU